GGAAUAUUCGUCAAUGGGGGAAACCCUGAACGAGCAAUGCCGCGUGAAGGAUGACGGUCCUAUGGAUUGUAAACUUCUGUUGUUAGGGAAGAACGAGUUGUAUAGGAAAUGAUACAGCAGUGACGGUACCUUUCAAGAAAGCUCCGGCUAACUACGUGCCAGCAGCCGCGGUAAUACGUAGGGAGCGAGCGUUAUCCGGAUUUAUUGGGUGUAAAGGGUGCGUAGGCGGUUUGAUAAGUCUGUGGUUUAAUCCCGAAGCUUAACUUCGGUUCGCCACAGAAACUGUCUUACUUGAGUAUGGUAGAGGCAAGUGGAAUUUCUAGUGUAGCGGUAAAAUGCGUAGAUAUUAGAAGGAACACCAGUGCCGAAGGCGACUUGCUAGGCCAUUACUGACGCUGAGGCACGAAAGCGUGGGGAGCAAAUA
Molecule: ribosomal RNA, 424 nt
Filed under: uncultured bacterium
Lineage: Bacteria
Description: bacterial SSU rRNA
Rfam family: Bacterial small subunit ribosomal RNA
Source: RNAcentral